Long non-coding RNA from Dreissena polymorpha, 520 nucleotides. RefSeq lists it as uncharacterized. The transcript has 3 exons. Lineage: Eukaryota; Metazoa; Mollusca; Bivalvia; Myida; Dreissenidae. The record is from RefSeq and is a predicted model, not a curated record.
UUGAAAGCUUUACUAGCAAAAAUCGCUAUUUUACGUUACCAAAUUAAAUUUACAUUGAUUUGUUUCUGUCUGGAUCGUUGUAGUUAAACCGUCGAUACAAGAACCCAUACAUCAUAUAUGGAGGAACGUACCUGAGUGGAAUAAGAAGCUUGUACAGGAGCUUAUCCAGGAGGUUCAGUCUAUUAAACCGAAUCCUCGUCUGAAGAUUCAAGAUUAUCGCAUCGUCCUGAUUGAGCCAGUAGGUUCCGGGAAAUCCAGUUUCUGCAACACUGUCAAUUCGAUGUUCAGAGGACGAAUCACACAGAGGGCAAUAUGUGGUGAUGGAACACAUAGCAUCACAACUUCGUACACACCAUAUUCAAUAAAAUGCAAUCAACAAGAAUCAACGCUACGUUUGCGACUGUGUGACACGAGAGGCCUGGGGCCUGAAUUGGGUCUUGACGUGAUGGAGUUCACCUACUUGUUGAAUGGUCAUAUACCAGAGAACUACAAGGUACGUGCACUCUUCUCUUGGAUUAUC